AAUUCGAUUGAGUUUGAUCCUGGCUCAGGACGAACGCUGGCGGCAUGCCUAAUACAUGCAAGUCGAGCGGAAUGAUGAGAGCUUGCUCUCUGAUUUUAGCGGCGGACGGGUGAGUAACACGUGGGCAACCUGCCCUAUAGAUGGGGAUAACUCCGGGAAACCGGGGCUAAUACCGAAUAAUCAGUUUGUCCGCAUGGACAAACUCUGAAAGACGGUUUCGGCUGCCACUGUAGGAUGGGCCCGCGGCGCAUUAGCUAGUUGGUGGGGUAAUGGCCUACCAAGGCGACGAUGCGUAGCCGACCUGAGAGGGUGAUCGGCCACACUGGGACUGAGACACGGCCCAGACUCCUACGGGAGGCAGCAGUAGGGAAUCUUCCACAAUGGACGAAAGUCUGAUGGAGCAAUGCCGCGUGAGCGAAGAAGGUUUUCGGAUCGUAAAGCUCUGUUGUAAGGGAAGAACACGUACGGGAGUAACUGCCCGUGCCAUGACGGUACCUUAUUAGAAAGCCACGGCUAACUACGUGCCAGCAGCCGCGGUAAUACGUAGGUGGCAAGCGUUGUCCGGAAUUAUUGGGCGUAAAGCGCGCGCAGGCGGUUCUUUAAGUCUGAUGUGAAAGCCCACGGCUCAACCGUGGAGGGUCAUUGGAAACUGGAGAACUUGAGUACAGAAGAGGAAAGCGGAAUUCCACGUGUAGCGGUGAAAUGCGUAGAGAUGUGGAGGAACACCAGUGGCGAAGGCGGCUUUCUGGUCUGUAACUGACGCUGA
This 766-nucleotide ribosomal RNA is filed under the name uncultured bacterium. Its description in RNAcentral is "bacterial SSU rRNA". It matches the Rfam family "Bacterial small subunit ribosomal RNA", at positions 1 to 749 of the family's 1533-position model. The record is from RNAcentral.